GGUUAUGGCUCAGCGGUAGAGCACUCGCCUUGCACGUGCGGAACCUGGGUUCGAUCCUCAGCACCA
This 66-nucleotide transfer RNA is filed under the name Marmota monax (woodchuck). RNAcentral's name for it is "tRNA.Ala". Lineage: Eukaryota; Metazoa; Chordata; Mammalia; Rodentia; Sciuridae. The record is from RNAcentral.